AGUUUGAUCCUGGCUCAGGAUGAACGCUAGCGGCAGGCUUAAUACAUGGCAAGUCGUGGGGCAGCAGGUUUGUAGCAAUACAGAUGCUGGCGACCGGCAAACGGGUGCGGAACACGUACAGAACCUUCCUUUGAGCGGGGAAUAGCCCAGAGAAAUUUGGAUUAAUACCCCAUAGUAUAAUGAAGUGGCAUCACUUUAUUAUUAAAGAUUUAUCACUCGAAGAUGGCUGUGCGGCUGAUUAGGUAGUUGGCGGGGUAAAGGCCCACCAAGCCUGCGAUCAGUAACUGGUGUGAGAGCACGACCAGUCACACGGGCACUGAGACACGGGCCCGACUCCUACGGGAGGCAGCAGUAAGGAAUAUUGGUCAAUGGAGGCAACUCUGAACCAGCCAUGCCGCGUGGAGGAUGAAGGUCCUCUGGAUUGUAAACUUCUUUUAUAUGGGACGAAAAAGGCUUUUCUAAGUCGUCUGACGGUACCAUAUGAAUAAGCACCGGCUAACUCCGUG
RNAcentral lists this ribosomal RNA (506 nucleotides) under uncultured bacterium. RNAcentral describes it as "bacterial SSU rRNA". It matches the Rfam family "Bacterial small subunit ribosomal RNA", at positions 10 to 507 of the family's 1533-position model. The record is from RNAcentral.